GACAGAGGGGGCAAGCGUUGUCCGGACUGACUGGGCGUAAAGCGCGCGCAGGCGGUCAGAGGCGUCGGUGCUCAAAGUCCACCGCUUAACGGUGGGAGGCGUGCCGAUACGCUCUGACUGGAGGGCGGGCGAGGGUGGUGGAAUUGCCGGUGUAGUGGUGAAAUGCGUAGAGAUCGGCAGGAACACCCAGGGGGAAACCAGCCGACUGGGCAAGUGCUGACGCUGAGGUGCGAGAGCGUGGGGAGCGAACCGG
This 253-nucleotide ribosomal RNA is filed under the name uncultured bacterium. RNAcentral describes it as "partial 16S ribosomal RNA". It matches the Rfam family "Bacterial small subunit ribosomal RNA", at positions 524 to 776 of the family's 1533-position model. The record is from RNAcentral.